AACCUAGCACACCUGCGGUGUGUACCUGCGGAAGGAUCAUUACAGAGAUUGAUGCACCAAGUGCAUCACCUCCAACCCCUUGCGAAAACAACUAUCAUGUGUUGCUUUGGCAGUGUUUCCACUGCCAGAGGUUUACAUAAAAUCAGCUGUUGGAUGUUGUCUGAGUAAACUAUAUGAAUUAUUUAAAACUUUUAACAAUGGAUCU
Molecule: unclassified non-coding RNA, 205 nt
Filed under: soil metagenome
Description: partial contains 5.8S ribosomal RNA, internal transcribed spacer 2, and large subunit ribosomal RNA
Source: RNAcentral